This 564-nucleotide ribosomal RNA is filed under the name uncultured bacterium. Its description in RNAcentral is "partial 16S ribosomal RNA". It matches the Rfam family "Bacterial small subunit ribosomal RNA", at positions 355 to 911 of the family's 1533-position model. The record is from RNAcentral.
UGGGGAAUUUUGGACAAUGGGGGCAACCCUGAUCCAGCAAUGCCGCGUGUGUGAAGAAGGCCUUCGGGUUGUAAAGCACUUUUGUCCGGAAAGAAAACGCCGUGGUUAAUACCCGUGGCGGAUGACGGUACCGGAAGAAUAAGCACCGGCUAACUACGUGCCAGCAGCCGCGGUAAUACGUAGGGUGCAAGCGUUAAUCGGAAUUACUGGGCGUAAAGCGUGCGCAGGCGGUCCGCUAAGACAGAUGUGAAAUCCCCGGGCUUAACCUGGGAACUGCAUUUGUGACUGGCGGGCUAGAGUAUGGCAGAGGGGGGUAGAAUUCCACGUGUAGCAGUGAAAUGCGUAGAGAUGUGGAGGAAUACCGAUGGCGAAGGCAGCCCCCUGGGCCAAUACUGACGCUCAUGCACGAAAGCGUGGGGGAGCAAACAGGAUUAGAUACCCUGGUAGUCCACGCCCUAAACGAUGUCAACUAGUUGUCGGGUCUUCAUUGACUUGGUAACGAGCUAACGCGUGAAGUUGACCGCCUGGGGAGUACGGUCGCAAGAUUAAAAACUCAAAUGAAUU